Molecule: unclassified non-coding RNA, 706 nt
Filed under: Hevea brasiliensis (rubber tree)
Lineage: Eukaryota; Viridiplantae; Streptophyta; Magnoliopsida; Malpighiales; Euphorbiaceae
Source: RNAcentral
GGGGAGAGGGAGAAAGGCUCUCCCACCUCUGCAUCAUUGCUCUGGGUGAACCCAAAUCACAAACCCAGUAACCCUACAUUCAAAUCCAGCAAAUCAAGGUCUCCAUACUAUAAUUUCUCUUCUCAAACUCCCAUUAACAGACCCACUUUCUCAGUCCCUCGUCACCCUCAAUUUUCUUCCUCGCCAUCAAAGACCCAAGCUCUAUGCCAUGGCACUUGGCCUCCAUCAGCCCAAGUGCAGCACGAUAUCUGAACGCAUCCAACGAUCCCACGAGCAGGGAUUUUAUACUAUAAUCAACUGAGGUCAGUUUGCCAGCUUGUGCUCUUAUUACUGAUUGCUGAUAUAUAAGAAAGAUAAAAAUUGCUCAAAUAUCUACUUAUAAUUAUUGCUAGUAUACAGUUUAUUUUUUUAUGUCUUCAACCCUAUGGUGUGGCAAUAAUGGAAUCUCAUCAUCAAAUGAGGACACAAAGCUACUGAACUCGUCACUCUCAUUAGUUUCUUCUUCUUUUGCUUUUCCCCAUGUCACAGCAUAAAACCCAAUGUACAUGACAACUGCCCCAAUAAGACUGCAAAAUUAGAAAAAUAAAGAAAUUAAAGUUAAUUAGUGCUGCUUCUCUAUUUCUACAUGAACUUAUUCUGGAGGACUAAAAUGCUUUAAGUACCUUCCAAGAUGCAAAGCAUCACCAAGAAAUAUGAGGCUCACAAU